RNAcentral lists this long non-coding RNA (584 nucleotides) under Mustela putorius furo (domestic ferret). Its description in RNAcentral is "lncRNA (ENSMPUG00000026701.1)". Lineage: Eukaryota; Metazoa; Chordata; Mammalia; Carnivora; Mustelidae. The record is from RNAcentral.
AUGUUUACAGCCCCUGCAGACUCCGAAUGGUUCCUCAUCACCCAGGCGGUGGCUGAAGAGGCUUGGCUCCAGCAUUCCUGUCCUGAUCUACCCACACGAAUGUCUUUGAACCACCUUUGUCCUAGCCCCUACCACCACCUGGCUUCCCUCCUGCCUCCUUCCCUCCGCCUACGGCCUGCCCCAGGGCUCAGGCCCUAUAAAAAAGUGCAGGAUCCGAUCCAGUGGAAACCCAGAGGUUGGACCAGCUGCCCAGUGCAAGAGUGCGGGACAGCUAACUGCACCCCAAAGCAGCCACUCCAGGGCCCCACUGCGUGCCCAGAGACCGUGAGCCCAUGUCGCUGCGCCGCGUAGGCCUGGGCCCCUCCUGCGGCCCACCCUAGCAGAAGCAAGACGCUCGGUCCGUUUCUGCGCUUUCGCAUUUGGGUUGUGAAAACCGCAGCUAGCUGUAACGAGCGACCAAGAUGAGGAGCAACAAUCUGGGAAGGAAUCCCGUCCCGAACCCGGGUCCCAGGGGCGCGCGGCACCACUACGCACCACGCAGGGAGGCGCAACCCGCUGGGGAGCGCGCGNNNNNNNNNNNNNNN